CCUACGGGAGGCUGCAGUGGGGAAUAUUGGACAAUGGGGGCAACCCUGAUCCAGCCAUGCCGCGUGUGUGAAGAAGGCCCUCGGGUUGUAAAGCACUUUCAGUGAGGAAGAACGCCUGGUGGUUAAUACCCAUCAGGAAAGACAUCACUCACAGAAGAAGCACCGGCUAACUCCGUGCCAGCAGCCGCGGUAAUACGGAGGGUGCGAGCGUUAAUCGGAAUUACUGGGCGUAAAGCGCGCGUCGGUGGCUUGAUAAGCCGGUUGUGAAAGCCCCGGGCUCAACCUGGGAACGGCAUCCGGAACUGUCAAGCUAGAGUGCAGGAGAGGAAGGUAGAAUUCCCGGUGUAGCGGUGAAAUGCGUAGAGAUCGGGAGGAAUACCAGUGGCGAAGGCGGCCUUCUGGACUGACACUGACACUGAGGUGCGAGAGCGUGGGUAGCAAACAGGAUUAGAUACCACGGUAGUC
This 465-nucleotide ribosomal RNA is filed under the name Vreelandella stevensii. RNAcentral describes it as "partial 16S ribosomal RNA". It matches the Rfam family "Bacterial small subunit ribosomal RNA", at positions 338 to 795 of the family's 1533-position model. The record is from RNAcentral. Lineage: Bacteria; Pseudomonadati; Pseudomonadota; Gammaproteobacteria; Oceanospirillales; Halomonadaceae.